AUUGACGUGGUGAAAGAAUGCUUGAAAAAAGGCGUUGAUCCAAAUUUCAUAAGCGAAGAAAAUUUGUCAGCUCUUCACAUAGUUUCUGAAACAGGACAUAGACAAAUGGCUCAGGUUCUGCUGGACGCCCCUGGAAUAAAUUUGAAUAUUAUGAGUGAUAUGGAUAUGACUCCUCUGAUGAUUGCAAGUUUCUAUUCGACCAGAGGUAUUCUGCAGGAGCUUCUGAAGAGGGGUGCCGAUCCCAACUUUCCGAAUAAAAAUGGUAAUCGAGCAUUACACUAUGCAUGCAUGAAUAGUGACAUGAAGAUUGUUUUCGACCUGGUCACCCAUGGAGCUAAUGUUAAAGUCCGAAAUGUGUUCGACGUUACUCCUCUGACGAUUGCUGCAAUUGACAGACAUUCCCCAGUAAUUACAAGAUAUUUACUGAGGAAAGGAGCUCACCAGAAGGCAUCUAAAGAGUUUCCUUUGUUGUUGGAAUGCGCUUUAGCUUGUAGCGACGAGGAGCGACUGGAUAUUUUCAAGUCGUUAAUCAAACAUGGCCUGGAAAUCAAUCAGGUACAUCCGCUUGAAAAGAGAAAUUGCCUUCAUUAUGUAGCGAUGACUGGUUAUGAACCAUUGGCGGCAUAUCUUCUCUCUGCGGGGAUAAAUCAUCAACAAGAGGAUGCAACCGGCAGGACACCUCUACAAAUUGCAGCAGAUCACAGACAUUUGGGAAUUGUAAAACUAAUAAGGGGCUGGCAGAAAAAGAAGGUCAAUUUUGUUGACUUAGCAACAGAAAUUAAAUGAGAUGGAAUUCUGAAUGAUGACAGCUACUUUUCUUGGGACAGAAUCAAAGGAGAAGAAACAUGUCACGUUGAAAUUAAUAUAUAAUUUUCAUGUAAUUUACAUUAUUUAUGUUCAGAUACUCAACAAUAGAAGUUUCAGGAUGACUGAAACAACACCGAGCAUAUUUCUUGCAGCAGAAUCCGUUCAACUAUGUUCAAUCUGUCAUGGAUACCUAUCAGUUGGACCCAUCUCAAUUUCAUACAAUGAACCAGUGUGUGGUAGAUGCCGACCACUGCCUGAGUGCACUGCAACGUUUUACGAAAAUAUAGCGAAGUAUAUGUUUUUUCCUUGUAUAAAUGACCGUUAUGGUUGUGAUAUCAUGUUACCUUGGAAAGCAGUGUCGUCUCACGAAAAAAAGUGUACAUUUUUUCCCGUCACAUGUCCCGCCUUGAAGUGCAUCCAGGAUAUUAGAAAGGAAGAUAUUGUGAAACACUUCGAAGAGAGUCAUGAAAAGUUGAUCACAAAUAUUGGACCAUUCCACGUAACUGUUCAUGAUGUACCUGUGAAUAAGUUACUUCGCUGGGAAGAAAAAACAUUCAUUAUGAAAAUUUCCUUUUCCUCACAGAAGUGGUAUUUCGAAAUUUCAUCAUGGGAAAAAAGUGAAAGUGCAAAACUGAAAUACGAAAUUUCACUAGAUGGUGACGAAAACGUAAACGGCUCGAGUACGGUUUGCGGUUCCAUUUCUACGUACCAGGAGAAGCAGCACCAAACGUCAACUAUAUUAGAAGUUAACCAUGUAAAGUCAUUCCAAAGAGGCACUAUAAAAAUUGAAAAGGAAUCGCUGAGCAACCCGUUACUAAACAAAGAGCUUUUGUCAGAGUUAGAAUGUCCAAUUUGUACCUUUUACAUGAGACCUCCGAUUUUCAUGUGCGUAGCUAGUCACAGUUUCUGUGAUUCCUGUAAGGUGAAUUUAAUGAAAUGCCCUUUGUGUCAGUCGGAAAUGAAGGAUAACAGAAAUUUCGUCCUGGAGCGAAUAACAAAGCACAUUUUUUUCCCUUGCAAAAACGAAUGUUCCGGCUGUGAUAUUGUCGAUAGAUUACCAAAAAUGAUUAUUCAUGAAAAAACUUGUCAACUUGAACCAGAAUGUUUCUUGACCUACUCAGUACCUUGUUCUUGGAGAGGACGUCAAUCAGAAAUCGUUUCUCACUUAUCGGAAAGUCAUCCAGAGUUUUAUAUAAACUUGAAUCUACCAAUUGUUUUGAAUUUGAAACAUUCUGAAACUAUUAUUGCUUUCACCGAAUAUGACAAAUGCAUUUUCAAGGUUCAUAUAAAUUGGGAUGAAUUAGCAGGACUCAAUGUUUGCGUUAAACUCGUUUCAGAUAGGCAGAAACAUAGUUAUCGAUAUUUUCUGAAUUGCAAAGAUCGCAAUGAGAAUCACAGAUACAUGAGUAUGAAUAAGUUCUGCCCCGUAACUAGACCUGAAGAUGAUACUUUGGACAACUGUUUAUCCCUCAAAAAACAAAUGAUGAAGCCCUUUUCAAAGAAUGAUAUGUUUGAAAUCAAAAUAUAUAUAGUGGAAAUUUGAAGGGAAUAGUAUUUAUCAACUUUUUUUAUGAAUCAACCACUGCGAGACAAGAUUAACGUUUCAAAAGAUACUUUUUGUAAAAUAAGAUCCUAUAGAAGAAAUACAAUCCAUUGGUUUCAAUAUGAAAAAA
This is an unclassified non-coding RNA of Leptinotarsa decemlineata (Colorado potato beetle), 2480 nucleotides long. NCBI's taxonomy places the organism in Eukaryota, Metazoa, Arthropoda, Insecta, Coleoptera, Chrysomelidae. The record is from RefSeq and is a predicted model, not a curated record.